AAUGUAGUAGGGGAAUCAAAAGCCCUAAUUUCAUUUCUCUUUUCUCUCUCUCUCUCUUCUCUUCAUAUAUAUAUAUAUAUAUAUAUAUAUAUGUAUAUAUACUAGCAGUUUCAGAUCUCUCUCUUUCUUCAAAUCAAUUUACAGAACAUGAUGAUUUGCUUGUUUUGCUUUGAUUGCUUUCUCAGAACUCAAAAACAAAAACAGAACUCCAUUCGAUUCAUUCUGAAAUUCUCAAUUUUCUUCGAAAUGGGUUGUGGGAUUCCUCCUCAAUUGGCUCUGCAGGACAUUUUUAAAGAGGUCAUUGUCAAAUGGCAACAUUCUUUGUGAAAGCAAUUCACCCAUUGAAGCCACUGAUGUUUGACAAAAUGAAUAUCACAAUCAACCUUUGCUUGAUAAGACGCAAGGUCUUUCAGAGCCAACUCCAGAAAUCUUUACUUGUGAAAGUGAAUUAUCUUAUUCAAGGUAUACCCCCUCCAUGUCUAGUAGACAGCUUUUUCCAGAUAUGCAGCAGAACCAAUAUCUGGAAAAUGAUCGUGUUUGUUUGGAUGGACAUCGAGUUUCAUUCCACUGCUCAAAUUUUUGGGACGUGGAUUGGCUUUCUUCAUUAGGAAAUUCAUGUGAAGAAGAAACUUAUGAAAGAUCUAUGCUCAUAAGCUCUCCUAUUACCGGUACGUCAUCAGGUAACGUUGUUACUGGACUUAAAAUGGAGUCAGGUGCUUCUGCUAGUACAUCUGGGUUCAGCAUGAAGGUGAGGAGGAGCAUUGGAUCUUCAAUCAGGUUGUAGAGGUUUUCUCAGAUGGGAGUGAGCAAGCUGGAGUAUGAUCUGGUUUUGUGUUGUUUUUUCCUUGCUACGUUGGUUCCUCACCAACCCUUGAUGGUGUGCUAGUGUGCUUAUUGGUGCCAACCUCGUUCCUCGGCUCAAUUUAUCCAUCAAUUCAAUCUCAAACCUUCAAAUCCCAAACUCAACAGGAUGCAACCCUUGAGUACGUGAUGAUAUCUUCAUAUAUUGACAUUGGAGCUUAUUAUUGAUAUCAAAACAAGCUAUAAUAUAUAUGUUUUUUUUAUAUUUAUAUUGUCAAUACUUUUAUUUUGUUUUAGAUACAAAAAUUUGAGUUCUUGAAUACAAAAAAUUAUUAGUGUUGUUGGAGGUUGUUUUAUAUAUUUUUGUAAAGAAUAUUUGGUUGACAAUUAUUACAUGGUACAUAUAUAUUAUUCUUGGUUUAUG
Camellia sinensis is the source of this 1225-nucleotide non-coding RNA. Lineage: Eukaryota; Viridiplantae; Streptophyta; Magnoliopsida; Ericales; Theaceae. The record is from RefSeq and is a predicted model, not a curated record.